Pongo pygmaeus (Bornean orangutan) is the source of this 4689-nucleotide RNA transcript. It is a transcript of the gene named GRIP and coiled-coil domain-containing protein 2-like, with no coding region annotated. The transcript is spliced from 11 exons. Lineage: Eukaryota; Metazoa; Chordata; Mammalia; Primates; Hominidae. The record is from RefSeq and is a predicted model, not a curated record.
GAACCUAACAAAUGUGAACUGUCAAAGAACUCUGAUAUGGAACAGUCUUCAGAUAGCAAAGUCAAAAAUCUCUUUGUUUCCUUUCCAACGGAAGAAUCUUCAAUCAACUACACAUUUAAAACACCAGAAAAGGAAUAUGAAAAGCAGUCAGAGCAACUGGAUGUGGAAAAAGAACGUGCUGAUAAUUUUGAGCAUCAUAUUGAAGACCUUACAAGACAAUUAAGAAAUUCGACUUUGCAGUGUGAAAAAAUAAAUUCUGAUAAUGAAGAUCUCCUGGCUCGUAUUGAGACACUACAGUCUAAUGCCGAAUUAUUAGAAGUACAGAUUUUAGAAGUCCAGAGAGCCAAAGCAAUGAUAGACAAAGAAUUAGAAGCUGAAAAACUUCAGAAAGAAGAGAAGAUAAAGGAACAUGCCACUACUGUAAAUGAACUUGAAGAACUUCAGGUACAACUUCAAAAGGAAAAGAAACAGCUUCAGAAAACCAUGCAAGAAUUAGAGCUGGUUAAAAAGGAUGCCCAACAGACCACAUUGAUGAAUAUGGAAAUAGCUGAUUAUGAACGUUUGAUGAAAGAACUAAAUCAAAAGUUAACUAAUAAAAACAACAAGAUAGAAGAUUUGGAGCAAGAAAUAAAAAUUCAAAAACAGAAACAAGAAACCCUAGAAGAAGAAAUAACUUCAUUACAGUCUUCAGUACAACAAUAUGAAGAGAAAAACACCAAAAUCAAGCAAUUGCUUGUGAAAGCCAAAAAGGAACUGGCAGAUUCAAAGCAAGCAGAAACUGAUCACUUAAUACUUCAAGCAUCUUUAAAAGGUGAGGUGGAGGCAAGCCAGCAGCAAGUAGAAGUCUAUAAAAUUCAGCUGGCUGAAAUAACAUCAGAGAAGCACACAAUCCACGAGCACCUGAAAACCUCUGCGGAACAGCACCAGCGUACGCUAAGUGCGUACCAGCAGAGAGUGACAGCACUACAGGAAGAGAGCCGUGCUGCCAAGGCAGAACAAGCUACUAUAACCUCUGAAUUCGAGAGCUACAAAGUCCAAGUUCAUAACGUUCUAAAACAACAGAAAAAUAAAUCUGUGUCUCAGGCUGAAACUGAGGGCGCUAAACAAGAAAGACUGAUUCUGCUAUGGAAAUACCAGGGGUUCCAUCUAGGUCCUGCUGCUCACCGAACAGAACACCAAUCACUGAGUGAUUAUUUCCAAGGAAGAAGGCUUUAACUGGGUGCUGCAGCCUAGGAGAUGGGAGAUCAGUCUCAAAUCCACCUCCCUGAUGGACUAAAAUUAGGGGUUUACAUAGCAGGGAAGAAAAGUAACAAUGUGUAGGAAAACAGGAACUAGGGAGGGGUAAGGAAACAAUUGUGAUGAAUGAGGGGUCUGGCAUCUCAUUGGCUGAUGCAAUGAUCUGGUGAGUUGCAGUUCUUUGAUACUGUUUUUUGAGAGGUCUGAGGGUCUUUUCCCAGGGAAGGAACUUAGAUAAAACAAAUACAAAUUUCAAGCUUUAGCAUCAGAAGGGUCAAUUCCUAUGUUUAUCCGAAACAAAACAAACAAACAAAAAAUCUGUCUAUGGGACUAUUGGGUCGGUUUCAAUUCAAUAGCACUCCAGGCCUGCAGGUCACUGUCACUGCAGGACAGCCCUAGCCUCCAGCAUGGGCAAUGCCUUCCCAUGCCUGGACCCUGGGCCUGCCUCUGCUUCAAGCAUUCCCUCAUGUAGUGGAGUAUAUCUGUCCUUAAAAGAAAAAUGGGGACAGGAAGGUAAAGUUUUUUGAGAUUUUAUUCUACCCUCACCCUAGACUGAUGGUGGUUGCUUAGAUGUAGAAUUUUAGUUUGAAGCCAUUUCCCCUAGAAUUUGAAGAUGUAUAAUCCUUGUCUUCUGGUGGUCACUGACAAGGAGUCUGACCCACUCUGAUUCCCAGUCUUUCCCCAAGGCUUUGACUGUGUCUUUUUUUUUUUUUUUUCUUUCUUUAACUUAUUGGAAGCUGUUGAGAUUUUCUGUGUCCUUGGUGUUCUGAGAUUUCCUGUGACCCCUGAAUUGUCAUUCCUCCCUAGCUCUGGGUGCUUGGUGAACCCUCUCCAUCUACAAACUCACAUCCUUCCAUUCCAGAAGUUGUCUCUUAUGAUGGUUUGCUUCAUUUCUUUUCCCCACUUUUCUCCGUUUAUUCAUUCUUGAAGUCCCUUCCAGAUAUUGGACUAUCUGAACUUAUUGGCUGUUUGUUUAUUAUUUUUUUAUUUUUUUGAGACAGGGUCAUUCUGUCACCAGGCUGGAGUGCAGUGAUGCAAUCUCGUCUCACUGCAACUUCUGCCUCCUGAGCUUAAGUGAUCCACUGGCCUCAGCCUCCUGAGUAGCUGGGAAGAUGGGCAUGCGCCACCACAGCAGGCUAAUUUUUGUAUUUUUAGUAGAGAUGGGGUUUUGCCAUGUUGCCCAGGCUGGUCUUGAACACCUGAGCUCAAGCAAUCUGCCCACCUUGGCCUCCCAAAGUGCUGGAAUUAUGGGCAUUAGCGACCACACCUGGUCAUUUGCUAAUAUUUUAAAAAUCUUGUUUCAUCCUUUUUUCUCGGUUAUUGUUCUAUGUUUGUGAUAUUUCCUGAUGUUAUUUUCUAAUCCUUUUAUUGACUUCUACAUAUCUGCUCUCACAUUUUUAAUUCCUAAGAGCCCUCUUGUCAAAAAUUUUGUCUAUAACCUCUUGUUCUUGUCUCAUGGGUGCAAUAUCUAUCCUUAGCUCUUUAAGGAUGUUAAUUCUAUUGGUUUUUUUGUUUGUUUGUUUUUGCUCUUUGCCUAUUUCUCUCCCCCUCACCAGCUUCCUUUUACUUUAAUCUUUGUGGUUCAUGUUAGAAGCAUUUCUCAAAUGUCUGAUGAUCCUUGGCUAUCCAUUUGUCAUUAAGAGUGGGAAUUCUGUGAGGGUAGGUGAGGCUUAUUGGUUGGUGCACUUCACUUACAGUUCUCUGGCUGGGCUGUUUCACUGGGAAAUCCCCAAAUGUAAAUGGUAGGUGUUUUCUCUCAGGCAGGUUAUUUCUCUUUUUUUUUUUUUUUUUUUUUUUUGAGGCAGAAUCUGGCUGUGUCACCCAGGCUGGAGUGCAGUGGUGCGAUCUAGGCUCACUGCAACCUCUGCCUCCCGCGUUCAAGCGAUUCUACUGCCUCAGCCUCUCAAGUAGCUGGAUGACAAGAAUACACCACCACGCUCAGAUAAUUUUUUUGUAUUUUUAGUGGAGACAGGGUUUCACCUUGUUGGCCAGGCCAGUCUCCAACUCCUGACCUCAAGUGAUCUUCUCGCCUUGGUCUUCCAAAGUGCUGGGAUUACAGGCAUGAGCCACCAGGUCCAGACCUAUUCCUGUUCUUCUUUUUUCUUUUUCUUUUCUUUUUUUUUUUUUUUUUUGAGACAGUGUCUCACUCUGUCACCCAGGCUGGAGUGCAGUGGCGUGAUCUCGGCUCACUGCAAGCUCCGCCUCCCGGGUUCAUGCCAUUCUCCUGCCUCAGCCUCCCAAGUAGCUGGGACUACAAGCGCCUGCCACCACGCCCGACUAAUUUUUUAUAUUUUCAGUAGAGACGAGGCUUCACCAUGUUAGCCAGGAUGGUCCAAAGUGCUGAGAUUACAGGCAUGAGCCACCGCACCUGGCCUCCUGUUCUUCUUAAGGAAGAUGGUUUUGUCAGUCUUUCACGGCUGCUAUAUAACAAGAGGCCUUCCUAAGUGGAUCAGAAGUCCUGGUAAUGAGGAAAGGUCUUUAAACAUGGAUGUUGGAUGACAAGAAAAGUCACCUUGGAUGUGAGUGACUGAAGGAUGGAUGGCGGCCACAUCACAGAGGCGGUCAGUCUUCAGAACUUAUGGAGCAUUCGCAAUCCGUAGAGCACCGACUGGGCUGGAGCUGGGGGGAUGGAGAGGAAGACUGAAGUGGCAUAUGGAAUGAGGACUGAUUCCGGGCCAAAUUUCUCCUUGUUACUAGUUUCUUAAUGUCUUUGACUCCUAGUUUGUUGCAAAUGGAGGAAGAGGAAAGAAAUGUAACUUUCAUCUUUUACCCCUUUUAUUUUUUAUAUUUAUUUAUUUAUUUUUUUUGUGAGACAGAGUCUCACUCUGUUGCCCAGGCUGGAGUGCAAUGGCAUGAUUUCGUCUCACUACAACCUCCACCUCCUGGGUUCAAGCGAUUCUCCCUGCCUCAGCCUCCUAAGUAGCUGGGAUUACAGGUGCACACCAUCACACUCAGCUAAUUUUUGUAUUUUUAGUAGUGAUGGGGUUUCGCCAUGUUUGGUCAGGCUGGUCUCGAACUCCUGACCUCAAGUGAUCUGCUCACCUUGGCCUCCAAAAGUGCUGGGGUUACAGGCAUGAGCCACCACGCCCGGCUCACCUCUUUUAUUUUUAACACCAUGGGUUCAUAAAUGGGUGAGUGAGACAUCUGUGUGUGUGUAUAGGGGAAAUUGUUUCUGUAACAUUGCUUAGAAAGAAUGUUGUGGUAGUUACUACCAAGGUACUGCCUUCACAUUUUAACUACCAAGUUCAUCACAACUCUUGAUAAAUACAACAAGGUCAUAUCAAUUAUUGAUGUUUUCUUGGUUUGUGUGGUAGGUUUGAACACAAAGGCUCUCAUCUGUAUGAUUAUUCUACCAGGGAAUGGGCCUCAGCUCCAGGUCACUUGGUGUCUAUGGUAGAGUCAUCAGGAUUUUAAGAAAAUAAACAAGGGGGCUGGGCAUGGUGGCUCAUGCCU